Bufo bufo (common toad) is the source of this 156-nucleotide long non-coding RNA. RefSeq lists it as uncharacterized. The transcript is spliced from 3 exons. The record is from RefSeq and is a predicted model, not a curated record. NCBI's taxonomy places the organism in Eukaryota, Metazoa, Chordata, Amphibia, Anura, Bufonidae.
AGUAUUCCCUGUGUAAGUGUGUAUACAGAGGUAGCUGUCAGUCACUGAUAGAUGUACACGGGGAGGUGUUAUCAGUGAUUGAUAGCAUUCUCUGUGUAAGUGUGUAUACAGACAUAGCUAUAGCUGUCAGUCACUGAUAGCUGUACACAGGGGAGG